This 405-nucleotide ribosomal RNA is filed under the name uncultured bacterium. Its description in RNAcentral is "bacterial SSU rRNA". It matches the Rfam family "Bacterial small subunit ribosomal RNA", at positions 355 to 774 of the family's 1533-position model. The record is from RNAcentral.
UGGGGGAUAUUGCACAAUGGAGGAAACUCUGAUGCAGCAACGCCGCGUGAGGGAAGAAGGUCUUCGGAUUGUAAACCUCAGUAGUCAGGGACGAAAGAAAUGACGGUACCUGAAGAGUAAGCUCCGGCUAACUACGUGCCAGCAGCCGCGGUAAUACGUAGGGAGCGAGCGUUGUCCGGAUUUACUGGGUGUAAAGGGCGCGCAGGCGGGAUAAAAAGUCAGUGGUAAAAUCCUACAGCUUAACUGUAGAACUGCCUUUGAUACUUUUAUUCUUGAGUUCGGGAGAGAGAGACGGAAUUCCAGGUGUAGUGGUGAAAUACGUAGAUAUCUGGAAGAACACCAGUUGCGAAGGCGGUCUCUUGGUCCGACACUGACGCUGAGGCGCGAAAGCGUGGGGAGCAAACA